Non-coding RNA from Macaca mulatta (Rhesus monkey), 85 nucleotides. The record is from Rfam. Lineage: Eukaryota; Metazoa; Chordata; Mammalia; Primates; Cercopithecidae.
AAUCUAGGAGGCAGGUGCUCACUUGUCCUCCUCCAUGGUUGGAAAAUACAGGGGGGAGGCCAUAGUGGCAACUGUCACCAUGAUU